RNAcentral lists this ribosomal RNA (253 nucleotides) under uncultured bacterium. RNAcentral describes it as "partial 16S ribosomal RNA". It matches the Rfam family "Bacterial small subunit ribosomal RNA", at positions 524 to 776 of the family's 1533-position model. The record is from RNAcentral.
UACGGAGGGCGCAAGCGUUAAUCGGAAUCACUGGGCGUAAAGCGUGCGUAGGCUGUCUGAUAAGUCAGGCGUGAAAUCCCUCGGCUCAACCGGGGAACUGCGUUUGAUACUGUCGGACUCGAGUCCUGGAGAGGGUGGCGGAAUUCCUGGUGUAGGAGUGAAAUCCGUAGAUAUCAGGAGGAACACCGGUGGCGAAGGCGGCCACCUGGACAGGUACUGACGCUGAGGCACGAAAGCGUGGGGAGCAAACAGG